RNAcentral lists this ribosomal RNA (436 nucleotides) under uncultured bacterium. RNAcentral describes it as "partial 16S ribosomal RNA". It matches the Rfam family "Bacterial small subunit ribosomal RNA", at positions 29 to 507 of the family's 1533-position model. The record is from RNAcentral.
GCGAACGCUGGCGGCAGGCUUCACACAUGCAAGUCGAGCGGGCAUCCUUGUGGUGUCAGCGGCAGACGGGUGAGUAACGCGUGGGAACGUGCCCUUCGGUUCGGAAUAACUCAGGGAAACUUGAGCUAAUACCGGAUACGUGCGAGAGCAGAAAGGUUUAUCUGCCGAAGGAUCGGCCCGCGUCUGAUUAGCUAGUUGGUGAGGUUACGGCUCACCAAGGCGACGAUCAGUAGCUGGUCUGAGAGGAUGAUCAGCCACACUGGGACUGAGACACGGCCCAGACUCCUACGGGAGGCAGCAGUGGGGAAUAUUGGACAAUGGGGGCAACCCUGAUCCAGCCAUGCCGCGUGAGUGAUGACGGCCUUAGGGUUGUAAAGCUCUUUUCUCCGGGACGAUAAUGACGGUACCGGAGGAAUAAGCCCCGGCUAACUUCGUG